Molecule: ribosomal RNA, 430 nt
Filed under: Pseudomonadota bacterium
Lineage: Bacteria; Pseudomonadati; Pseudomonadota
Description: Proteobacteria bacterium partial 16S ribosomal RNA
Rfam family: Bacterial small subunit ribosomal RNA
Source: RNAcentral
UGGGGAAUAUUGGACAAUGGGCGAAAGCCUGAUCCAGCCAUGCCGCGUGUGUGAAGAAGGUCUUCGGAUUGUAAAGCACUUUAAGCGAGGAGGAGGGUACUGGUAUUAAUACUACCAGGUACUGGACGUUACUCGCAGAAUAAGCACCGGCUAACUCUGUGCCAGCAGCCGCGGUAAUACAGAGGGUGCGAGCGUUAAUCGGAUUUACUGGGCGUAAAGCGUGCGUAGGCGGCUAAUUGAGUCGGAUGUGAAAUCCCCGAGCUUAACUUGGGAAUUGCAUUCGAUACUGGUUAGCUAGAGUGUGGGAGAGGAUGGUAGAAUUCCAGGUGUAGCGGAGAAAUGCGUAGAGAUCUGGAGGAAUACCGAUGGCGAAGGCAGCCAUCUGGCCUAACACUGACGCUGAGGUACGAAAGCAUGGGGAGCAAACAGG